GGGGGUGACCGGUCUCGACGGGAACACCUAGGCGAGGCGGCAAGCGGAGCUCCCGGAAGCUCCAUAAACCUCCGGGAACGGCAAAAUAAAUGCCGACUUUGCACCUGCUUACGCCUGCGCUGCGUCGUUGAACUAGCGUAGGCCGUUCCCAGGGCUCAGGCCCGCGGGGUUCUGGGGGCGUGGACCAAGCGGGCUAGCCCGGGUGGCGUGCCUUCCGCCUGCCGGGUGACAUCCAAGGAGGCUUGGGGCCGAGCGAUCCUGCCCGUGGGAGCGCGAGGUCCGACAUCAAAAACACGGGAUAAGCUUGUAGAGGCCGAGCCGACGGUGUUUUCGGACGCGGGUUCGAAUCCCGCCACCUCCACCA
This 364-nucleotide transfer-messenger RNA is filed under the name Candidatus Acetothermia bacterium. It matches the Rfam family "transfer-messenger RNA". From Rfam's summary of the family: Bacterial tmRNA, also known as 10Sa RNA or SsrA, is named for its dual tRNA and mRNA-like properties. RNAcentral also lists the same sequence under 1 other name. Lineage: Bacteria; Candidatus Bipolaricaulota. The record is from RNAcentral.